GUCAAGUCUCAUCACACACCAGAGAAUACACACAGGAGAGAGGCCCUAUGUUUGCAAGGAGUGUGGGCGUGCAUUCAGUAUGAGUUCACAGCUCAUCAGACACCAGAGAACACACACAGGAGAGAGGCCCUAUGUUUGCAAGGAGUGUGGGCGUGGCUUCAUUGUGAGGUCAGGUCUCAUUAUACACCAGAGAACACACACAGGAGAGAAGCCCUAUGCUUGCAAGGAGUGUGGGCAUACCUUCAGUCAGAGAUCAGGUCUCAUCACACACCAGAGAACACACACAAGAGAGAAGCCCUAUGUUUGUGGGGAGUGUGGCCAUGGCUUCAGCAUGAGUGCAAGUCUCAUCAGACACCAGAGGACACACAGUUGAGAAGCCCCAUGUUUGCAGGG
Molecule: long non-coding RNA, 393 nt
Organism: Suncus etruscus (white-toothed pygmy shrew)
Lineage: Eukaryota; Metazoa; Chordata; Mammalia; Eulipotyphla; Soricidae
Exons: 3
Source: RefSeq, a predicted model, not a curated record